UACGUAGGGUGCAAGCGUUGUCCGGAAUUAUUGGGCGUUAAAGAGCUCGUAGGCGGUUUGUCGCGUCUGCUGUGAAAACCCGAGGCUCAACCUCGGGCCUGCAGUGGGUACGGGCAGACUAGAGUGCGGUAAGGGGAGAUUGGAAUUCCUGGUGUAAGCGGUGGAAUGCGCAGAUAGUCAGGAGGAACACCGAUGGCGAAGGCAGCUCGGCUGGGACGUUACUGACGCUGAGACGCGAAAGCGUGGGGAGCAAACAGG
RNAcentral lists this ribosomal RNA (258 nucleotides) under uncultured bacterium. RNAcentral's name for it is "partial 16S ribosomal RNA". It matches the Rfam family "Bacterial small subunit ribosomal RNA", at positions 524 to 776 of the family's 1533-position model. The record is from RNAcentral.